RNAcentral lists this ribosomal RNA (253 nucleotides) under uncultured bacterium. Its description in RNAcentral is "partial 16S ribosomal RNA". It matches the Rfam family "Bacterial small subunit ribosomal RNA", at positions 524 to 776 of the family's 1533-position model. The record is from RNAcentral.
UACGUAGGGUGCAAGCGUUGUCCGGAAUUAUUGGGCGUAAAGAGCUCGUAGGCGGUGCUCUAAGUUCGGUGUGAAAUCUCCUGGCUUAACUGGGAGGGUGCGCCGGAAACUGGAGUGCUUGAGCGUGGGAGAGGAAAGCGGAAUUCCUGGUGUAGCGGUGAAAUGCGUAGAUAUCAGGAGGAACACCUGUGGUGUAGACGGCUUUCUGGACCAUAGCUGACGCUGAGACACGAAAGCGUGGGUAGCAAACAGG